This 343-nucleotide unclassified non-coding RNA is filed under the name soil metagenome. RNAcentral describes it as "partial contains 5.8S ribosomal RNA, internal transcribed spacer 2, and large subunit ribosomal RNA". The stretch from base 1 to 120 matches the Rfam family "5.8S ribosomal RNA", at positions 35 to 154 of the family's 154-position model. The record is from RNAcentral.
GAUGAAGAACGCAGCGAAAUGCGAUAAGUAAUGUGAAUUGCAGAAUCCAGUGAAUCAUCGAAUCUUUGAACGCUCAUUGCGCCCGCCAGCAUUCUGGCGGGCAUGCCUGUUCGAGCGUCAUUUCAACCCUCGACCUCCCCUUGGGGAGGUCGGCGUUGGGGACCGGCAGCACACCGCCGGCCCUGAAAUGGAGUGGCGGCCCGUCUGCGGCGACCUCUGCGUAGUAAUACAGCUCGCACCGGAACCCCGACGCGGCCACGCCGUAAAACACCCAACUUCUGAACGUUGACCUCGAAUCAGGUAGGACUACCCGCUGAACUUAAGCAUAUCAAUAAGCGGAGGA